GAGCACGUAUAGACAUUUGCUGG
RNAcentral lists this non-coding RNA (23 nucleotides) under Mus musculus (house mouse). The record is from RNAcentral. Lineage: Eukaryota; Metazoa; Chordata; Mammalia; Rodentia; Muridae.